Molecule: ribosomal RNA, 462 nt
Filed under: Cladosporium tenuissimum
Lineage: Eukaryota; Fungi; Ascomycota; Dothideomycetes; Cladosporiales; Cladosporiaceae
Description: partial 18S ribosomal RNA
Rfam family: 5.8S ribosomal RNA (bases 127-280)
Source: RNAcentral
UCAUAACCCUUUGUUGUCCGACUCUGUUGCCUCCGGGGCGACCCUGCCUUCGGGCGGGGGCUCCGGGUGGACACUUCAAACUCUUGCGUAACUUUGCAGUCUGAGUAAACUUAAUUAAUAAAUUAAAACUUUUAACAACGGAUCUCUUGGUUCUGGCAUCGAUGAAGAACGCAGCGAAAUGCGAUAAGUAAUGUGAAUUGCAGAAUUCAGUGAAUCAUCGAAUCUUUGAACGCACAUUGCGCCCCCUGGUAUUCCGGGGGGCAUGCCUGUUCGAGCGUCAUUUCACCACUCAAGCCUCGCUUGGUAUUGGGCAACGCGGUCCGCCGCGUGCCUCAAAUCGACCGGCUGGGUCUUCUGUCCCCUAAGCGUUGUGGAAACUAUUCGCUAAAGGGUGCUCGGGAGGCUACGCCGUAAAACAAACCCAUUUCUAAGGUUGACCUCGGAUCAGGUAGGGAUACCCGC